RNAcentral lists this transfer RNA (96 nucleotides) under Micrococcales bacterium. RNAcentral's name for it is "tRNA-Sec". It matches the Rfam family "Selenocysteine transfer RNA". The record is from RNAcentral. Lineage: Bacteria; Bacillati; Actinomycetota; Actinomycetes; Micrococcales.
GGAGGUGCGAGGGUUCCUGGUGGGCCCCCCGGUCUUCAACACCGGUGUACGGCGGUAUCCGUCGCAGGCGGGUUCGAUCCCCGUGCACCUCCGCCA